GUUAGUUGACUCGUGCACGAGACACGCUGGCGGCGUGCUUAACACAUGCAAGUCGAACGAUGAAGAACAGCACUUGUGUUGUUUGGAUUAGUGGCGAACGGGUGAGUAACACGUGAGUAACCUGCCCUCCACUUUGGGAUAACCAUUGGAAACGGUGGCUAAUACUGGAUAGGACAACUACUCGCAUGGGUGGUUGUGGAAAGCUUUAGUGGUCGGGGGAUGGACUCGCGGCCUAUCAGCUUGUUGGUGGGGUAAUGGCCUACCAAGGCGACGACGGGUAGCCGGCCUGAGAGGGCGACCGGCCACACUGGGACUGAGACACGGCCCAGACUCCUACGGGAGGCAGCAGUGGGGAAUAUUGCACAAUGGGCGAAAGCCUGAUGCAGCGACGCCGCGUGGGGGAUGAAGGCCUUCGGGUUGUAAACCCCUUUCAGUAGGGAACAAGGCCAUGCUUUUGUGUGGUUGAGGGUACUUGCAGAAGAAGCGCCGGCUAACUACGUG
Molecule: ribosomal RNA, 501 nt
Filed under: uncultured Jonesia sp.
Lineage: Bacteria; Bacillati; Actinomycetota; Actinomycetes; Micrococcales; Jonesiaceae
Description: bacterial SSU rRNA
Rfam family: Bacterial small subunit ribosomal RNA
Source: RNAcentral